GAAAUAAGAUAUUCAAGGGUAAGCUUCUAACUUAACUCUUUAGCAGUGAAAGUCUGUUAAUAUUUCU
Molecule: transfer RNA, 67 nt
Filed under: Popillia japonica (Japanese beetle)
Lineage: Eukaryota; Metazoa; Arthropoda; Insecta; Coleoptera; Scarabaeidae
Description: tRNA-Ser
Source: RNAcentral